AGGGUGUAAACGCUGCAGACUUGGUGUUGGAGGCCCUUUGGGGGGCAUUCAGUGCCGGAGAGAAGUUGUUAAGUCUGCUACUUGGGGAGUACGUCCGCAAGGAUGAACUUAAAGGAAUUGGCGGGGGAGCACCGCAACGGGAGGAGCGUGCGGUUUAAUUGGAUUCAACACCGUAAAACUCACCAGGGAAGACUGUUACAUGAAGGCCGAGAUGAAGACUCUGCUAGAUUUUCAGAGAGGUGGUGCAUGGCGUCAGUGACU
This 261-nucleotide ribosomal RNA is filed under the name uncultured archaeon. RNAcentral describes it as "partial 16S ribosomal RNA". It matches the Rfam family "Archaeal small subunit ribosomal RNA", at positions 748 to 1008 of the family's 1478-position model. The record is from RNAcentral.